Molecule: ribosomal RNA, 449 nt
Filed under: uncultured bacterium
Lineage: Bacteria
Description: bacterial SSU rRNA
Rfam family: Bacterial small subunit ribosomal RNA
Source: RNAcentral
GUGGGGAAUAUUGGACAAUGGGGGCAACCCUGAUCCAGCAAUGCCGCGUGUGUGAAGAAGGCCUUCGGGUUGUAAAGCACUUUCGGUGGGGACAAACGUGGCGAGGCUAACAUCCUCGUCCUUGAUGGUACCCAAAGAAGAAGCACCGGCUAACUCUGUGCCAGCAGCCGCGGUAAUACAGAGGGUGCAAGCGUUAAUCGGAAUUACUGGGCGUAAAGGGUGCGUAGGUGGUUGGAUAAGUCAGAUGUGAAAUCCCCGGGCUUAACCUGGGAACUGCGUUUGAUACUGUUCGACUAGAGUCUGGUAGAGGGUAGUGGAAUUCCGCAUGUAGCGGUGAAAUGCGUAGAGAUGCGGAGGAACACCAGUGGCGAAGGCGGCUACCUGGACCAAGACUGACACUGAGGCACGAAAGCGUGGGUAGCAAACAGGAUUAGAUACCCGAGUAGUCC